RNAcentral lists this microRNA (22 nucleotides) under Human betaherpesvirus 6B. Its description in RNAcentral is "hhv6b-miR-Ro6-2-5p". Its record names the gene hhv6b-miR-Ro6-2-5p. The record is from miRBase by way of RNAcentral. Lineage: Duplodnaviria; Heunggongvirae; Peploviricota; Herviviricetes; Herpesvirales; Orthoherpesviridae.
CGCCGCCGCCGUUACUGUCACU